Long non-coding RNA from Humulus lupulus (European hop), 525 nucleotides. RefSeq lists it as uncharacterized. The transcript is spliced from 3 exons. The record is from RefSeq and is a predicted model, not a curated record. NCBI's taxonomy places the organism in Eukaryota, Viridiplantae, Streptophyta, Magnoliopsida, Rosales, Cannabaceae.
UGUGUAGUGGGAAAAGAAUGGUUUAUUCCAUUUAUUUUCUUGAUUCAAUUAAAUUAAAAUUAGAAGACCAUGGUUAUUUUAGGUAAGGAUGUGAUCAUCUUUUUAUUCCUUGCCAUUUAAAGAUAUAAACAAUUAUACAAAAAUUAAGAGAAAAUAUGGAGAGAAUAGGAAACUUACCUUUUCUUUUUAUUAAGCCAUUAUGAGAGAAUAAGGAUAAAGGGGAAAGGAAAGAGGGGAAGAGCCAUUUGCUCUUGUGGCUGCCGAAAUUAGACAGAGAGAGUGGCGUGUAGAGAGAGAGGGAGAAGAAGAAAGAAAGAAAGAAGAAGAAGGUGAAGAGGAACCCAUCUUAGAGCUUGAACAAGGGUGUGAAGUUUGGGUGUUGAUCUUAUUGUGUUCUUGAUUUUACAAUCAAGAGAGGUAGCAAAUAGGAUUUCUUUAUGGCACGCGUGGUGACGUGAGGAGUUCUAUCAUCAUGGGGUGUAUGGCGUGGGGAAAUCCUAUGGACGGAAAAACGAUCAACGUAGA